AAUAGAUACCCGGUAGUCCACCCGUAAACGUUGGAACUAGUUGUGGGGUCCAUUCCACGGAUUCCGUGACGCAGCUAACGCAUUAAGUUCCCCGCCUGGGGAGUACGGCCGCAAGGCUAAAACUCAAAGGAAUUGACGGGGACCCGCACAAGCGGCGGAGCAUGCGGAUUAAUUCGAUGCAACGCGAAGAACCUUACCAAGGCUUGACAUACACGAGAACGGGCCAGAAAUGGUCAACUCUUUGGACACUCGUGAACAGGUGGUGCAUGGUUGUCGUCAGCUCGUGUCGUGAGAUGUUGGGUUAAGUCCCGCAACGAGCGCAACCCUCGUUCUAUGUUGCCAGCACGUAAUGGUGGGAACUCAUGGGAUACUGCCGGGGUCAACUCGGAGGAAGGUGGGGAUGACGUCAAAUCAUCAUGCCCCUUAUGUCUUGGGCUUCACGCAUGCUACAAUGGCCGGUACAAAGGGCUGCAAUACCGUGAGGUGGAGCGAAUCCCAAAAAGCCGGUCCCAGUUCGGAUUGAGGUCUGCAACUCGACCUC
Molecule: ribosomal RNA, 541 nt
Filed under: uncultured bacterium
Lineage: Bacteria
Description: bacterial SSU rRNA
Rfam family: Bacterial small subunit ribosomal RNA
Source: RNAcentral